RNAcentral lists this ribosomal RNA (17 nucleotides) under Heterodera glycines (soybean cyst nematode). RNAcentral describes it as "partial 28S ribosomal RNA". The record is from RNAcentral. Lineage: Eukaryota; Metazoa; Nematoda; Chromadorea; Rhabditida; Heteroderidae.
UUCGACCUGAACUCAGA